Molecule: transfer RNA, 77 nt
Filed under: Ruminiclostridium sp.
Lineage: Bacteria; Bacillati; Bacillota; Clostridia; Eubacteriales; Oscillospiraceae
Also listed under: 1 other name
Description: tRNA-His
Rfam family: tRNA
About the family: Transfer RNA (tRNA) molecules are approximately 80 nucleotides in length. Their secondary structure includes four short double-helical elements and three loops (D, anti-codon, and T loops).
Source: RNAcentral
GUGGGUAUGGCGUAGCUGGUUAACGCGCCAGAUUGUGGAUCUGGAGAUCGUGGGUUCGAAUCCCACUCCCCACCCCA